RNAcentral lists this long non-coding RNA (241 nucleotides) under Vigna radiata. Its description in RNAcentral is "long non-coding RNA (VRAD_LNC009080)". The record is from RNAcentral. Lineage: Eukaryota; Viridiplantae; Streptophyta; Magnoliopsida; Fabales; Fabaceae.
AUGAAAAUCACUUGUCAUCUCCAUCUUCUCCAUUCUCACCAGCCACAACCUAGUACUUCGUUCAACCACUAGAGAAUCCCUUGCUUCAUCAAUGACCACUGGAGUUUGUGCCACAACUAUCAACCUUGUCAUAGUAGAUAAGAGCUCCACCACGCACUUACAACAGAAACAAGAGACCUUCGCCUUUUAAGGAUGUUUCAAUUGAUUAUUUCAAAGUACUUUGGAUGAUUUUCACUCCUUC